Long non-coding RNA from Cloeon dipterum, 1680 nucleotides. RefSeq lists it as uncharacterized. The record is from RefSeq and is a predicted model, not a curated record. The transcript has 4 exons. NCBI's taxonomy places the organism in Eukaryota, Metazoa, Arthropoda, Insecta, Ephemeroptera, Baetidae.
AACCUUCUCACUGCCGAAUGCGUUCGGCGGCCGAAUAAACUUCAUCAUUAUCAGUCGGCGUAAUUUUCGCGCCAAGCUUCUGCCGGGCAUGCGUGGCAACAGCGCUCAUCACCUGUUAGCAUUACAAUGGCGAGCACGCUGGCCUGUGGUUUGUUUAUCUUCGUUGUGAAUUUGGUUUUGUCGAUUUUAUGCUAAUUCAGCAACGAUAUACGUCUCGGCCUAAGUCCGCAAUCCUCAUUUAGAAGAACAGCUUAUGGCACAUUAUUUGGAAGAGUGGAAGCGUUUCACCAAAGAGCUGGAUAUAUGUUGGGUUCAAGAGAAAAAAUAUCUGCUGUCCUUUUUCAAGAGGCGAGCGGUGCCUGCUGGUGGCGUCGCUGCGGCGCACUCAAUGUUCUUCCUGAAGCUGCACAGUCUGUCGGGCGAGCAGUUCCAGGCCUGGUCAAAGAGGUGCUGUUCACCUACAACCAUAAUGGCGCUCAAAUCAUCGCUCGGAACGCGUUCUACACUCAGGCCAACGACCUAUGGUGGUCAGAAUGACGAUUUUGAAACCAGCAGUGGGCGGCUGGCUUGAUGGUUUCGUCCUCUUUUGGAUUGACGUCGUCUACUCGCUUUAGCACGACAGAUGCAUCACAGCGCUGACCUGCGAGUCCAGUUCACUACUUCCUCUCUUAGUCAGGGCCAUUCCGAGUUCCAGGCUACCGGAGAGGAGACGAGGAGCAGCUGGCCGACGUGGACAUUGACGGCCGGCUCGUAAUCAUGGUUCGCACCUAAGGCCAGGAGCUGCGCAUCUACAAGCAGCGCGGGCACUGCGAGCACAUCAAGGAGUGUCAUUUGCUCAAGCGCAUGACGCUCGUAAACCCCAUGUACAAGCUGUUUUUUACUUCGACGUCACUGCCGAUGGCGUCAGUGAGCUCACCCUUAAACGGGCUCACAUGCUCACAUCAUAUUAUGCAGCGCACAAUGUGGAUCAGAUUUUAGUAAAGACUUGAAUUUGUGAAAAGUGAUGAAAUAAAAUGAAAAUGUAAAAUUAUUGCCCAGUUUACUACUAUUAAUCAUCUGUUGUAGUAAAAAUGAUUUUAAAUUUUCUGACAAUGUUUGAGGUUUGGAAACAGGUAAUGAAUUUGUCUUUUAGGAAUUGCAGAAAAUUUUGUUUAUAUAUGCGCUAAUCCUGGCACAACAUUUAGAAUUUAAUAAUCAAAUAAACUUUGGAUCAUUCAAUUCUUCAGUGUUUUGUAUUUUAACUAGUUUACAAGACGUUUAAAUUUUGAUUUAGUGCAAUAGAAGCUUUUACUUGUUUUAUUUUUUAAAUGGUAUUCUAUUGAUUCAAAUCUGUUUUUAAAGUAAAUCCCGACAUCUUUUGUUUACUUUUAAAUUUCCCUUCGUGCACGAAAUAAAUUAUGUCACAAAUGUAUAGCAAAUUUCUAAAUAUUAAUGACUCAUUCACUUCACCAUGCUCCUCUUCACGUUCCUCGGUAGAGCGGAUUGCAAGUAGACAAGAAAUUGAAACAGGAAUUUCUGCUUUUUCCUGGAAUACCGGCAGGACAAGAAAAUAUUUUCAGGAUCAGGACAUGAGGGGAAUUUAGUUUCUGAACAAUUGCAAUCUUGGUCUAUAUUAAUCACGUUUUUGUCAAAAUUUAUAACUGGAGACAUGAUAAUGAUAAAAUUGACUAAAUACUGUUU